This 70-nucleotide microRNA precursor is filed under the name Mus pahari (shrew mouse). RNAcentral's name for it is "microRNA 3082 (MGP_PahariEiJ_G0007232.1)". The record is from RNAcentral. Lineage: Eukaryota; Metazoa; Chordata; Mammalia; Rodentia; Muridae.
GGACAGAGUGUGUGUGUCUGUGUGGAGGAAGAGAUAGGAGUUGCCCACACAUGGCACUCAACUCUGCAGG